GGCUGGUCCAGUGGUAGCAGGUUAUCAGAACUUACCAACAUUAGUAUCAUUAAAGUUGGUAUACAACCCCCUUCACUGCUAAAUUUGACUGGCUUAA
Molecule: Y RNA, 97 nt
Filed under: Gorilla gorilla gorilla (western lowland gorilla)
Lineage: Eukaryota; Metazoa; Chordata; Mammalia; Primates; Hominidae
Description: Y RNA (ENSGGOG00000032926.2)
Rfam family: Y RNA
About the family: Y RNAs are components of the Ro ribonucleoprotein particle (Ro RNP), in association with Ro60 and La proteins.
Source: Rfam by way of RNAcentral